RNAcentral lists this transfer RNA (86 nucleotides) under Pseudomonas syringae. Its description in RNAcentral is "tRNA-Leu". It matches the Rfam family "tRNA". From Rfam's summary of the family: Transfer RNA (tRNA) molecules are approximately 80 nucleotides in length. Their secondary structure includes four short double-helical elements and three loops (D, anti-codon, and T loops). The record is from RNAcentral. Lineage: Bacteria; Pseudomonadati; Pseudomonadota; Gammaproteobacteria; Pseudomonadales; Pseudomonadaceae. RNAcentral also lists the same sequence under 2 other names.
GCCCCGAUGGCGAAAUUGGUAGACGCAAGGGACUUAAAAUCCCUCGUUCUUUGAACGUGCCGGUUCGACCCCGGCUCGGGGCACCA